CAGCCGCCACGGUAAUACGAAGGGUGCAAGCGUUAAUUGGAAUUACUGGGCGUAAAGCGUGCGUAGGCGGUUUGUUAAGUCUGCUGUGAAAUCCCCGGGCUCAACCUGGGAAUGGUAGUGGAUACUGGCAAGCUAGAGUGUGUCAGAGGAUGGUGGAAUUCCCGGUGUAGCGGUGAAAUGCGUAGAGAUCGGGAGGAACAUCAGUGGCGAAGGCGGCCAUCUGGGACAACACUGACGCUGAGGCACGAAAGCGUGGGGAGCAAACAGGAUUAGAUACCCCUGUAGUCCCUGUCUCUUAUAA
RNAcentral lists this ribosomal RNA (301 nucleotides) under uncultured bacterium. Its description in RNAcentral is "partial 16S ribosomal RNA". It matches the Rfam family "Bacterial small subunit ribosomal RNA", at positions 509 to 809 of the family's 1533-position model. The record is from RNAcentral.